This is a long non-coding RNA of Prunus dulcis (almond), 443 nucleotides long. RefSeq lists it as uncharacterized. The transcript is spliced from 2 exons. The record is from RefSeq and is a predicted model, not a curated record. NCBI's taxonomy places the organism in Eukaryota, Viridiplantae, Streptophyta, Magnoliopsida, Rosales, Rosaceae.
CCUCUCUCUCUCCCCCGUUCAGCUCCAGCUCGCCGCCACCACGGAGCACGGCGACCGUCGCCACCGGUCCCGUUGGACUCGCCACGUCGCCGCCUUCCUCCCGUGACCAGUCGCCGGCCUUGGACCGCCGCCUAUCGGCCGGAAACUGGCGAUUUCUCGCCGGAAUUCACCCAAACUUCAAGCCAUUCGAUCUCCUCCGUUUCUCAACCAAAUCAGUCGAGUGAGGUUGAAAUUUUGGGAAAUGUCCAGUUUAUAGGGGAGACUCUGCCGAAAUUUCGGCAGAAAGUCCCGGUCUUUAGUGAAAGGGUCCGGCAUCGGGGUGAUGUCAGGAAUUCCAAAGGAUUUGUCUCGAAUUAUGGGAAAAUUCGGGGCGGGUCCUUUCAUUCAAGCAGCCCAGUUAUUAUCUCUACAUAGACUGCUAUCAUGUAAGGAAAAUUACCAAA